UUAUAAUGGCCAUGACAUAAUUUGUUUGGACACUGCUUGUCUUGUCUUAUUCCUUUUGUUCUUUAGCCCUUUUAUCAAUUGGUCUGUCCUUUGGUGAAUUUGUUUUUAUUUCGGGGUAUUUUCAAUGGAGGGCUCUAAGUAGGGUAGAGAGAGAAGCUCAUCCUUCUCUAUAGGAACCCCCCCCUCUGUCCUUACCGUCCCUUUCUCUUCCCCG
Molecule: long non-coding RNA, 214 nt
Filed under: Panax ginseng (ginseng)
Lineage: Eukaryota; Viridiplantae; Streptophyta; Magnoliopsida; Apiales; Araliaceae
Description: long non-coding RNA (PGIN_LNC009309)
Source: RNAcentral